This 103-nucleotide transfer RNA is filed under the name Conexivisphaera calida. It matches the Rfam family "tRNA". From Rfam's summary of the family: Transfer RNA (tRNA) molecules are approximately 80 nucleotides in length. Lineage: Archaea; Thermoproteati; Nitrososphaerota; Conexivisphaeria; Conexivisphaerales; Conexivisphaeraceae. The record is from Rfam by way of RNAcentral.
GGGCCCGUAGCUCAGCUUGGCAGAGCGUUCGAGCGGGCGCCGCCGGACGUCCGCGACGAGGCUGAUAACCGAAAGGCCGUGGGUUCGAAUCCCACCGGGCCCA